This 482-nucleotide ribosomal RNA is filed under the name uncultured bacterium. Its description in RNAcentral is "bacterial SSU rRNA". It matches the Rfam family "Bacterial small subunit ribosomal RNA", at positions 426 to 918 of the family's 1533-position model. The record is from RNAcentral.
UAAACCUCUUUUAGCAAGGAAGAAGCGAAAGUGACGGUACCUGCAGAAAAAGCGCCGGCUAACUACGUGCCAGCAGCCGCGGUAAUACGUAGGGCGCAAGCGUUAUCCGGAAUUAUUGGGCGUAAAGAGCUCGUAGGCGGUCUGUCGCGUCUGCUGUGAAAACCCGAGGCUCAACCUCGGGCCUGCAGUGGGUACGGGCAGACUAGAGUGCGGUAGGGGAGAUUGGAAUUCCUGGUGUAGCGGUGGAAUGCGCAGAUAUCAGGAGGAACACCGAUGGCGAAGGCAGAUCUCUGGGCCGUAACUGACGCUGAGGAGCGAAAGGGUGGGGAGCAAACAGGCUUAGAUACCCUGGUAGUCCACCCCGUAAACGUUGGGAACUAGUUGUGGGGUCCUUUCCACGGAUUCCGUGACGCAGCUAACGCAUUAAGUUCCCCGCCUGGGGAGUACGGCCGCAAGGCUAAAACUCAAAUGAAUUGACGGAA